RNAcentral lists this ribosomal RNA (492 nucleotides) under uncultured bacterium. Its description in RNAcentral is "partial 16S ribosomal RNA". It matches the Rfam family "Bacterial small subunit ribosomal RNA", at positions 29 to 507 of the family's 1533-position model. The record is from RNAcentral.
AGUGAACGCUGGCGGUAGGCCUAACACAUGCAAGUCGAACGGCAGCACAGUAAGAGCUUGCUCUUACGGGUGGCGAGUGGCGGACGGGUGAGGAAUACAUCGGAAUCUACUUUUUCGUGGGGGAUAACGUAGGGAAACUUACGCUAAUACCGCAUACGACCUACGGGUGAAAGCAGGGGAUCUUCGGACCUUGCGCGAUUGAAUGAGCCGAUGUCGGAUUAGCUAGUUGGCGGGGUAAAGGCCCACCAAGGCGACGAUCCGUAGCUGGUCUGAGAGGAUGAUCGGCCACAUUGGAACUGAGACACGGUCCAGACUCCUACGGGAGGCAGCAGUGGGGAAUAUUGGACAAUGGGGGCAAGCCUGAUCCAGCCAUACCGCGUGGGUGAAGAAGGCCUUCGGGUUGUAAAGCCGUUUUGUUGGGAAAGAAAAGCAGCAGGUUAAUACCACGCGGUUCUGACGGUACCCAAAGAAGAAGCACCGGCUAACUUCGUG